Molecule: RNA transcript, 2639 nt
Organism: Carya illinoinensis
Lineage: Eukaryota; Viridiplantae; Streptophyta; Magnoliopsida; Fagales; Juglandaceae
Gene name: beta-amylase 8
Exons: 11
Source: RefSeq, a predicted model, not a curated record
GCGAUAGUACUUUAUCACACUACAGUGAACCGGUAAAGCAAGGUUGAGCAGCUGGAAGUAGAUGGAGACUGGAGGGCUUCCAGUGCACUGAGACGAUAAGUAACGAACGGUACGGUAUAGAUUGUCAAGAAGCACAAAGAAAAAGAGCAAGAAGAUGAGCGUCGACAACGACGACGCUACAAAUACUAACUUCCAACACCAACACCAAGAUCUGGACCACUCCUCCGACUACCUAUCUAACGCUCUCCCCCAAACCCUCGACUCUCACUCUCAGCCUCAGCCCCAGGCGCGGCGCCCCCGCGGCUUUGCAGCCACUGCGGCUGCUGCAGCCAUGGGCCCCGCCACAACAGGAAAGGGGAAGAAGGAGAGAGAGAAAGAGAAAGAGCGGACCAAGCUGCGGGAGCGCCACCGCCGAGCCAUCACCAGCCGGAUGCUCGCCGGCCUCCGGCAGUACGGUAAUUUUCCUCUCCCCGCGCGCGCAGAUAUGAACGAUGUGCUUGCAGCCCUCGCUCGUGAGGCCGGCUGGGUCGUUGAGGCAGAUGGGACGACCUACAGACAGUCGCCGCCUCCUUCCCAUUUGGCAGCAUUUCCUGUGAGGUCAGUUGAGAGCCCACUAUCUUCUAGUUCGUUGAGAAAUUGCUCUGUCAAAGCAGCGUUAGACCAUCAGCCAUCAGUUCUGAGAAUUGAUGAGAGCUUGUCACCUGCAUCUCUUGAUUCAGUGGUAAUUGCAGAAAGGGAUACUAAGAGUGAGAAAUAUCCCAGUGCCAGCCCCAUCAAUUCAGUUGAAUGCCUGGAGGCUGACCAACUUAUGCAAGAUAUUCGUUCUGGGGAGCAUGAGAAUGAUUUUACUGGCAUUCCAAAUGUCCCUGUUUUCGUAAAACUUCCAACUGGUGUUAUCAACAAUUUCUGCCAAUUGGUUGAUCCUGGAGGUGUUAGACAGGAGCUUAGUCAUUUGAAAUCUUUAGAUGUAGAUGGCAUUGUUAUAGACUGUUGGUGGGGCAUUGUUGAAGGCUGGUGUCCACAAAAAUAUGUUUGGUCUGGCUAUCGCGAGCUUUUCAACAUCAUCCGAGAAUUCAAACUGAAGUUACAGGUUGUAAUGGCAUUUCAUGAGUUUGGAGGAAAUGAGUCUGGUGACAUGUUGAUUACCCUCCCACGUUGGGUUUUGGACAUUGGAAAAGAAAAUGGGGAUAUAUUCUUCUCAGAUCGUGAAGGAAGGAGGAAUACUGAAUGUCUAUCUUGGGGCAUUGAUAAAGAACGAGUUCUAAAAGGAAGAACUGGCAUUGAGGUCUAUUUUGAUUUCAUGAGAAGCUUCCGGAUGGAGUUUGAUGACUUGUUUGCAGAGGGUCUCAUUUCUGGUAUAGAAAUUGGACUCGGGGCAUCUGGAGAGCUGAAGUAUCCAUCUUUUCCAGAAAGGAUUGGGUGGAGGUAUCCGGGUAUCGGUGAGUUUCAGUGCUAUGACAAAUAUUUACAACAAAGUCUGUGCAGAGCAGCUAAAUUGCGUGGGCACUCCUUCUGGGCUAAGGGUCCUGAUAACGCUGGUGAAUACAAUUCUAGGCCACAUGAGACUGGUUUCUUUUGUGAACGAGGUGAUUAUGAUAGCUACUAUGGCCGCUUUUUCCUCAAUUGGUAUGCGCAGUCAUUAAUAGAACAUGCAGAUAAUGUAUUGUCUCUUGCAAGCCUUGCAUUUGAGGAAACAAAAAUAAUUGUUAAGGUUCCUGCUGUUCAUUGGUGGUACAAGACUGCUAGCCAUGCAGCAGAGCUAACGGCAGGAUUCUAUAACUCUACGAACCAAGAUGGAUACUCUUCAGUAUUUGAGGUUCUGAGAAAACACAUGGUGACAUUGAAGUUUGUUUGCUUGAGGUUGCACGUUUCUGGUCAGGAAAAUGAUGAAGCAUUGGCUGACCCAGAAGGUUUGAGUUGGCAGGUUUUAAACUCAGCCUGGGAUCGAGGAUUGACUGUAGCUGGUGAGAAUGCACUUCCAUGUUAUGAUAGAGAAGGGUACAUGAGCAUGGUUGAGACGGCCAAGCCAAGGAAUGAUCCUGAUUGCCGCCACUUUACAUUCUUUGUAUAUCAACAGCCGAUCCCUUUGGGUGAAGGAACAAUUUGUUUAUCAGAGUUGGCUUACUUCAUUAAAUCUAUGCAUGGUGAGACAGCAGGCAAUCUAAUGCCCUGAUCAGUUGUAUCACGUUCUUUUUCGAAGGAUAUUGCGAAAACAAGUGCUGGCUUCAACUAAGGCCAUUGAUUUUAUUAUGGCUCAAGGCAUCGCAACUCACAUAACAUUGCAUAUGGGAUUGUUUAUAACUUUAUGGGGAGGUGUGCUGGAGAAGCUGAAAUUCAUCUUGUGAAGUGGUCCAAGGUUGGUUCAUCCAUAAUAAAAUGGGGCUUGGGGAUUGGAAAAAUGAUCCUUAUUGACGAAGCUAUUUUAGGGAAAUGGUUUAGUGUGUUUCGGGUGGGGCGCUACCAGGGGUGGGGUGGAGCAUGGUUUUAAAUUCCGUUUUGUUCUAGCCAUUUUAGUUGGAAUUUUCCAUUCCGGUCUAGUGUCCGGUAUACUAUACCUCUUUGUUUCGUUUCGUUUCAAACUCUAGCCCGUGUCUACCAUUUCGAUUAAAUUUCGGCCGAAUUUGGCAUUUUGAGUCUUA